AUGAUUAAUCUGAAAGAGACCAUGUUAUUCUUGACCACGACACAACCCAGCACGGACCCUCAGCCCUACAAGGAGGACCCCAGCCGGAACGACUCCAACUGCUGUCUGAGCAGCUGGCUGAGGGUCUCUGCCGCCUUCUGGCACAGCCCCUGCAAUCACUUCUGCUGCCAAGUCCAGUUCCACGGGCUCAGGGACAAGGAUGAGUGGGAGCAGGACUGGCCCAAACCUGUCACCCAAAACAUCAGUGCCGAGGCCUGCGGCAGAGCAGACUGUGGCUUCACCUCAGUGUCCUAUCAGCAAGGGGUCCUGUCUGCCACCAUCUUCUACGAGAUCCUGCUGGGGAAGGCCACCCUGUAUGCUGUGCUGGUCAGCAUCCUGGUGCUGAUGGCCAUGGUUAAGAAAAAGGAUUCCAGAGACCAUCUCCAAAAGUGCAUCCUGAGUCAUUCUUUAUCCUCACCUUGGAUUCUCCUAAACGCGUUUCCCAUCUGUGUUCCUCAAGAGUUUCUCUCUCUCCACCUCUUAUCUCCUUCUUACACAGAUAUCUGUCCUUCUCUCAGCUUCCCUGCAGACUGA
Balaenoptera acutorostrata (minke whale) is the source of this 573-nucleotide non-coding RNA. NCBI's taxonomy places the organism in Eukaryota, Metazoa, Chordata, Mammalia, Artiodactyla, Balaenopteridae. The record is from the annotation of a RefSeq genome assembly.